CCCUGGUCUAGAGUCUUCUCCCUCAUGAGACAUUUGUGAUGAAGAGCUUCAGAAAUGAAUAGUUUGAACAUAUGAGUCUCCUCCUCCUGACUGCAGAGGAGCUUCAUGACAGAGACCUGUGUGAUUGAAGCUGUGAUCAUCAGACCAAACACAGCUCACCAAAGUGACUCCUACUGAUCCUUCAGUUCCAGCAUUUCUCUCUGCUAACAUGGACAAACUUGCUGCUGCUGCUGUGUUCAUGGUUUCAGUCAUUUUCAGUGUGAGCUGUGAAGAUCUCACUGCAGAGAGGAAAGAAGAGUCCGCUCUAGAGAACAGCUCUGUUACUCUGUCCUUCAGAUACUCCAGAGCUGCUGCUCUCAGUGAUUAUUUCUACUGGUAUAGACAAGAUCCAGGAGAACCACCACAGUUCCUCAUCUCUCACACAUCAGCUGGGAUAAUAUCAGAUCCAGAUCCUAGACUGUCUGCUGCAAUGAGUGACAAAAACCAUCGUGUGGAUCUCCAGAUCUCCUCUGCUGCACUGAGUGACUCUGCUGUGUACUACUGUGCUGUGAGGCCCACAGUGACAGGAAACACCAACACUCUGUACAAAAACACAACGUGUCUCUCUGACAUGCUGGUGGAACAUUGUCUUCAUGUGCUUUAA
Notolabrus celidotus (New Zealand spotty) is the source of this 643-nucleotide non-coding RNA. The record is from the annotation of a RefSeq genome assembly. NCBI's taxonomy places the organism in Eukaryota, Metazoa, Chordata, Actinopteri, Labriformes, Labridae.